This 341-nucleotide unclassified non-coding RNA is filed under the name soil metagenome. Its description in RNAcentral is "partial contains 5.8S ribosomal RNA, internal transcribed spacer 2, and large subunit ribosomal RNA". The stretch from base 1 to 120 matches the Rfam family "5.8S ribosomal RNA", at positions 35 to 154 of the family's 154-position model. The record is from RNAcentral.
GAUGAAGAACGCAGCGAAAUGCGAUAAGUAGUGUGAAUUGCAGAAUUCAGUGAAUCAUCGAAUCUUUGAACGCACAUUGCGCCCUUUGGUAUUCCAAAGGGCAUGCCUGUUCGAGCGUCAUUUGUACCCUCAAGCUUUGCUUGGUGUUGGGCGUCUUGUCUCUAGCUUUGCUGGAGACUCGCCUUAAAGUAAUUGGCAGCCGGCCUACUGGUUUCGGAGCGCAGCACAAGUCGCACUCUCUAUCAGCAAAGGUCUAGCACCCAUUAAGCCUUUUUUUCAACUUUUGAUCUCGGAUCAGGUAGGGAUACCCGCUGAACUUAAGCAUAUCAAUAAGCGGAGGA